AUAGUCGCUUGUUCUCCGCCCGCGGUGGACCAGCUGCGUAACGGUUCACACACUGAUGGCGCCUGGAGGUUUGGCGAAAUACUGACAGGAUGCGACGUCAACGGGAGCGCAGGGCCAAGAUACCCUUUAUAUCAAACCGUCUAUCCUGGAGCAGAAAAAUCCUGUCUUCAUUGCUAUAGCUACAGAUUCAGAAAUGAGCAUGUAACAAAUUCAGGCCAAAGAGAGGCAAUGGAAAUCAGAGAAACACUGUUCCUGAAAGCUUCUGUCACUCAAGAAUCCAUGAAACAUUCAUGAACUUCACAUCAGCCAAGCCCAGAAAAUAUGGGUUUAAGGUUUGCCUAUAUGUCCAAUACAAGAGAAAAAAGAACAUUCCACUUCUUUAGAAGGUUCUACUUUGAUCUCCUGGAAGAUUUCUGUAUUUGUCUUCUUAACUCUUGAGUUUUGUUGUUGCUAAUAUUGGAUGAAGAGGAGACAAAAUGAUUGGAUCUAGAGGAGCACCGACAAGCAAAUGGCAGAGUCCUCAGAAGGGAAGAUAGUGUUAAUGUAGAAUUGAUAACACAGAAUGCACCACUGCUGUGAUCCUUAUAUCUUGGCUGGCCAUUACCCCUCCACUUGGAAAUGAAAAAGAUAAACUAAUUGAAGCAGUGAGAAGAGAAAAAGGGAGAGGAAGGUGCUAUUGUGGAGGUGCAUACCCAACAGUUUGAUAAUGUAGAGGAAGUGAUAGCUUUGUCUCGUGGAAUCUGGGUCGACCUCACAGAGGAGCUGUUAUUUGUUCUGGAUAUUGAACAGUGACAAGGAUUCAGUGGGAGAGAAAGAGGCGAGGCAACAACAAACAUGUGCUGUGGAGA
Molecule: long non-coding RNA, 848 nt
Filed under: Homo sapiens (human)
Lineage: Eukaryota; Metazoa; Chordata; Mammalia; Primates; Hominidae
Description: non-protein coding POT1-AS1:13
Source: RNAcentral